This 339-nucleotide unclassified non-coding RNA is filed under the name soil metagenome. RNAcentral's name for it is "partial contains 5.8S ribosomal RNA, internal transcribed spacer 2, and large subunit ribosomal RNA". The stretch from base 1 to 120 matches the Rfam family "5.8S ribosomal RNA", at positions 35 to 154 of the family's 154-position model. The record is from RNAcentral.
GAUGAAGAACGUAGCGAAAUGCGAUAAGUAAUGUGAAUUGCAGAGUUCAGUGAAUCAUCGAAUCUUUGAACGCACAUUGCGCCCGUCAGUAUUCUGACGGGCAUGCCUGUCCGAGCGUCAUUUCAACCCUCAAGCACUGCUUGGCGUUGGCGGAUUGCGUGCCCUCGCGGCGCUGCAACCGCCCAAAUACAGUGGCGGUCCCGCUGCGGCUCCCUUUGCGUAGUAACUCACCUCGCACUGGACCGGGCGGCGGCCUGCCGUAAAACCCCAACUCACGAAAUGUUGACCUCGGAUCAGGUAGGAAUACCCGCUGAACUUAAGCAUACAAUAAGCGGAGGA